This 207-nucleotide ribosomal RNA is filed under the name uncultured bacterium. RNAcentral's name for it is "partial 16S ribosomal RNA". It matches the Rfam family "Bacterial small subunit ribosomal RNA", at positions 524 to 731 of the family's 1533-position model. The record is from RNAcentral.
UACGUAGGGACCGAGCGUUGUCCGGAAUCAUUGGGCGUAAAGAGCGUGUAGGCGGCCACUUAAGUCCUGCGUGAAAUCUUGCGGCUCAACCGCAAGCGGUCGUGGGAAACUGGGUGGCUAGAGUGCGGGAGAGGAGAGUGGAAUUCCUGGUGUAGCGGUGGAAUGCGCAGAUAUCAGGAAGAACACCCGUGGCGAAGGCGGCCCCUG